RNAcentral lists this long non-coding RNA (3092 nucleotides) under Homo sapiens (human). RNAcentral describes it as "HSALNT0376909". The record is from RNAcentral. Lineage: Eukaryota; Metazoa; Chordata; Mammalia; Primates; Hominidae.
GAUGCCGGCUAGCUCUGUUUUAAAAUUAUUUACACCAAAAAGAUACACAUUUUUAAAACCUUUAAAAUUAAAUACUAGAGGAAUUCCUUCUAGCAGAUGUUUCCUGCUCCUCAUUAGUGCUUAAUUUUCUAAUUUCCCUGAUGUUUUUGCUUUUUCUAUUGACAUUUUUUUUUCAAUCCGUUGAGGAAUUUGAUCAUUUUAAAGCUGAGAAACUUCCUCCUGACCAGCCGAGUUGAAACCCGGGGAGCACAGGCGGGAUAUUCCCACCCCACAGGCUCAGAAAACGAGCUCUGUGCGGUGCAGAGAGUAAAAGGACUGCCUUUGUGGGGAGCCCACUUUGGCCUGGAGCUGACAACAUCUUGAGAGCAAAUCGGUUCCAAGGGCUCCUUUUUAUAAAAUGGGGAAACACAGCGGCACUCCUUCUUCCUUCCCAAAGACGGAUGUGUUUCAUCCCUGCCUAUCUGGAGCUGCUGUUCUAGUAUGGCACAGGCAGAUCGCCCAUCUCUGAAGAGCAAGAUGGGCGUGUACCCGGUUUCACUUUCACUGCAGACAGGAGAGUCUGUACACAAAGAAAUCUGAUGCUGUCAGGCCCAAGCAUUGGCCAGGAAAGGACUCAGUACAGACAGGACCACUCAGAGAAACAGAUUUUUUUUCCCUAGCUGGUUUUAGGUCAACGACAAUAAAACGUGAAUUCUGGAGAUUCAAAACCUCAAAUCUUCAACUUUUCACCUCGCACUUUUAUUCCUGGGACAAAAACUUGCUCAGCACAUCUCUUCCUAAAUUCCAAGACAGGCUGCUUGUUCUGUUCAGUCAAGAAUGCCAACCCAAGAAACAUUUUUGAAAGAUCACAGUCAACGUCAUUGCCAAAAGAAGAAGCUCUUGGCACACAAAGAACCUGGUUCAAUAUGAGAUGCCAGAUGGUGAUUUCAACUUCAGCUAAAUUCCUGCUGAGAAGUAUUUGAACUGCAGAUGAGAAAAUCUUCUGUGACAAAUUUCCAAGUGUUAGAAGCUUCAGAGGAAAAUGGCAAGUGUUGAUACCCUCUCUCCCCGCAACCACCACCACCAACCACAUGCACACAUACCAUGGAACAUACCUGCAUCUGGUAGCUAAGAUUCCAACAGAUGCCUCUGCCUUUUAAAAAGCCUAUGGACCCUGAUUUGAUUUUUACUAAAAGUAUAUUAACUGAGUCCAUUGGAAGCAAAUACCAUUUGAUUAAUAUGCAGUGCUUUUUCAAAGGGUGCGUUCCCUUAGCAUCGGAGAUAACUCUUUCCUGUCUUCCAAUAAUUCUGUUGUUAAUUGAUAAUUAAUUGAUAGUCAACUGAUACUCAGUGUAUCUCCCCUCCCUAGAUACUUUCAAAUUCCAGGAGAUACAUGUGAGGCAUAAAUUGAUGGUGCUCUGCCUGGAUGACCUUGAAUCUCUUUUGCUGGUUCUGUGUGCCCACACCCCAGCUUCAGUGUAUUUUGCUUUCUAAUGAUUAGCUUCUGCAACUAUCUUCAGAGGGUUGCCCUUGAACUACUGAAUUUCACCUGUUUGCACAGAGAACUGAAAGUGCCUGGGAGCUUACUGUGGCCCUGAGAUGCCCACAGCCAAUGAGUCACUGGUACAGGAAAUUGAAAGCCCAGCUCCCCCGAAUCAAGUCUGGGAAAAUUCUGAGGUGUAAUAUAUGCUCCAGAGCUCCAGUCAGCAAUAGGCUGAGACUGGGACUCUGCCUGAAUAACACUUGCACUUGGCUUUUUCCCUCCUUCUUUCCCUGUGUUGCUCCUGCCUCCCCACAUACCCCCUUGGAGGUCUCUCCUGUAACACAUCUUUCAUAUAACUCAUGUACAAAUUCUCGUCUUGGGAUCUGCUUCUGGGAAACUGACCUGUGAUGAUUCUGGGCAAUGGAAAAGUUCGAGUAUCCUGCUAAUAAAGAAAACAGAAAUUCUUUCUAGAACAAGGAACAUAUGCGUGCCUACUUUAUCAAUCAAAGUCUCAGAAGGAAAUAGUGGAUAAAGUCAAAGUAGGUAUUUGGAGAAAGAGUAGUAAUAAAGGGACUAUUUCCAAAGGUGUGGACUGGGUUCAGAGAGACAAGGAUAAGUGCCCACCUGGAAGCUAGGACCAGGAUGUGCCAUUGCCAACUCUAGGCCUCACUGGUAAAAGGAGAGUGUGGCUUUGCAAGCUGGUGACAGAAAUGUGUGGAGAGGCUGUGAGACAGGAGCUGUGACUUUACAGGUUGCAGCCAGCCUGCAGAGACCCUGCAAGGAGUUAGCACCAACCUUAUGCUCCAUCUUGCCUCCAAUCUUGUCAGCGCUACCCCAUCAGCUGAACAUAAUGGGAACUAGGGCUUGAGGGAGCCUGUUAAUGUAGUACAUCUAGGGUUAGCCUCUUGGGGCACACAGCAGGUGGAGAAGAGUAGGGAGAGGAUCUGAAGGGACAAACAGAAGCUUUCCAGCAGCACACUUGCCUACCUAUCUUACACACACACAGUUUGGCUGGUUCUUGAUCUUGACCUGUGACCAGAUACACCUAAAUAAACACUACUUUUCUCUCUGCUGACCUUGUCUCCUUCUAUAUUAUUUGUUUGCACAUUGAGGGACCCAGAGAUAGGCUGCAUGAUGUGUGAGAAGGGGACAUCAAAAAUCAAGUGACAAAAUACAUUUUUAUUUAAGUCUGAGUAUGGCAUUUGGGUAUCAGGAUAGCCCCAGCACUUCAGCCUCUAAGACAUUUUAUGUAGAGUGAAACAUGACUCACAGAGCCCACUGCCAUAAGAUUUAUCAUCACUUUGACUUUAUAUUUUAGUACAAAGAGGUCUAAACUACGUCUUUAGAGAAUUAUACCCAUUCUCUCACAGUUGACAACAAAUGCAAAUCAAAGAUCUUUAUGUUGCUUUUUGUAAUGCCCUAUCUAAUCGUUUUCUCAUCAGUCCAGGUGCAAAGAUGUCCUCAUUAUUCAGUUUACUCCCAAAUGUUCUCAUUAUUGAAAGCAAUGCUCUCUUCCUAGUGGGCUCAUUUUCUGUUUUUGAAAUGGUCACUUUUCUUGGAUUUUGGCUUUGGCUUGAUUCAGAAUAUAAAGCACUACAAAGUGUGUAGAGUGGAAAAAAAAGGUCACUCA